RNAcentral lists this ribosomal RNA (1056 nucleotides) under fungal endophyte. RNAcentral describes it as "eukaryotic LSU rRNA". The stretch from base 478 to 1056 matches the Rfam family "Eukaryotic large subunit ribosomal RNA", at positions 1 to 591 of the family's 3401-position model. The record is from RNAcentral. Lineage: Eukaryota; Fungi.
GCUCUACAACCCUUUGUGAACAUACCUAUAACUGUCGCUUCGGCGGGUAGGGUCUCCGUGACCCUCCCGGCCUCCCGCCCCCGGGCGGGUCGGCGCCCGCCGGAGGAUAACCAAACUCUGAUUUAACGACGUUUCUUCUGAGUGGUACAAGCAAAUAAUCAAAACUUUUAACAACGGAUCUCUUGGUUCUGGCAUCGAUGAAGAACGCAGCGAAAUGCGAUAAGUAAUGUGAAUUGCAGAAUUCAGUGAAUCAUCGAAUCUUUGAACGCACAUUGCGCCCGCCAGCAUUCUGGCGGGCAUGCCUGUUCGAGCGUCAUUUCAACCCUCAAGCUCUGCUUGGUGUUGGGGCCCUACAGCUGAUGUAGGCCCUCAAAGGUAGUGGCGGACCCUCCCGGAGCCUCCUUUGCGUAGUAACUUUACGUCUCGCACUGGGAUCCGGAGGGACUCUUGCCGUAAAACCCCCAAUUUUCCAAAGGUUGACCUCGGAUCAGGUAGGAAUACCCGCUGAACUUAAGCAUAUCAAUAAGCGGAGGAAAAGAAACCAACAGGGAUUGCCUCAGUAACGGCGAGUGAAGCGGCAACAGCUCAAAUUUGAAAUCUGGCCCUAGGCCCGAGUUGUAAUUUGCAGAGGAUGCUUUUGGUGCGGUGCCUUCCAAGUUCCCUAGAACGGGACGCCAGAGAGGGUGAGAGCCCCGUACAGUUGGACACCAAGCCUUUGUAAAGCUCCUUCGACGAGUCGAGUAGUUUGGGAAUGCUGCUCAAAAUGGGAGGUAUAUUUCUUCUAAAGCUAAAUACCGGCCAGAGACCGAUAGCGCACAAGUAGAGUGAUCGAAAGAUGAAAAGCACUUUGAAAAGAGGGUUAAACAGCACGUGAAAUUGUUAAAAGGGAAGCGCUUGUGACCAGACUUGCGUCCGGUGAAUCACCCAGCUCUCGCGGCUGGGGCACUUCGCCGGCUCAGGCCAGCAUCAGCUCGCUGUCGGGGACAAAAGCUUCAGGAACGUAGCUCUCUUCGGGGAGUGUUAUAGCCUGUUGCAUAAUACCCUUCGGCGGGCUGA